ACUCCUACGGGAGGCAGCAGUGGGGAAUUUUGGACAAUGGGGGAAACCCUGAUCCAGCAAUGCCGCGUGAGUGAAGAAGGCCUUCGGGUUGUAAAGCUCUUUUGUCAGGGAAGAAACACCGGCUCUAACACAGUCCGGGAAUGACGGUGCCUGAAGAAUAAGCACCGGCUAACUACGUGCCAGCAGCCGCGGUAAUAC
This 198-nucleotide ribosomal RNA is filed under the name uncultured bacterium. RNAcentral describes it as "partial 16S ribosomal RNA". It matches the Rfam family "Bacterial small subunit ribosomal RNA", at positions 335 to 526 of the family's 1533-position model. The record is from RNAcentral.